Molecule: transfer RNA, 67 nt
Filed under: Poecilocoris druraei
Lineage: Eukaryota; Metazoa; Arthropoda; Insecta; Hemiptera; Scutelleridae
Description: tRNA-Leu
Source: RNAcentral
ACUAUUUUGGCAGAUUAAUGCGGUAAAUUUAGAAUUUAUUUAAGUAAUGAUAUCAUUACAUUUAGUA